GACGAACGCUGGCGGCGUGCUUAACACAUGCAAGUCGAACGGAAAGGCCCUGCUUUUGUGGGGUGCUCGAGUGGCGAACGGGUGAGUAACACGUGAGUAACCUGCCCUUGACUUUGGGAUAACUUCAGGAAACUGGGGCUAAUACCGGAUAGGAGCUCCUGCUGCAUGGUGGGGGUUGGAAAGUUUCGGCGGUUGGGGAUGGACUCGCGGCUUAUCAGCUUGUUGGUGUGGUAGUGGCUUACCAAGGCUUUGACGGGUAGCCGGCCUGAGAGGGUGACCGGGCACAUUGGGACUGAGAGACGGCCCAGACGCCUACGGGAGGCAGCAGUGGGGAAUAUUGCGCAAUGGGCGGAAGCCUGAUGCAGCAACGCCGCGUGCGGGAUGACGGCCUUCGGGUUGUAAACCGCUUUCGCCUGUGACGAAGCGUGAGUGACGGUAAUGGGUAAAGAAGCACCGGCUAACUACGUG
Molecule: ribosomal RNA, 468 nt
Filed under: uncultured bacterium
Lineage: Bacteria
Description: partial 16S ribosomal RNA
Rfam family: Bacterial small subunit ribosomal RNA
Source: RNAcentral